Molecule: unclassified non-coding RNA, 352 nt
Filed under: soil metagenome
Description: partial contains 5.8S ribosomal RNA, internal transcribed spacer 2, and large subunit ribosomal RNA
Rfam family: 5.8S ribosomal RNA (bases 1-120)
Source: RNAcentral
GAUGAAGAACGUAGCGAAAUGCGAUAAGUAAUGUGAAUUGCAGAAUUCAGUGAAUCAUCGAAUCUUUGAACGCACAUUGCGCCCGCCAGUAUUCUGGCGGGCAUGCCUGUUCGAGCGUCAUUACAGCCCUCAGGCCCCCGGGCCUGGCGUUGGGGAUCGGCGGAGCCCCCCGUGGGCACACGCCGUCCCCCAAAUGCAGUGGCGGUCCCGCCGCAGCUUCCAUCGCGUAGUAGCUAACACCUCGCGACUGGAGAGCGGCGCGGCCACGCCGUAAAACACCCAACUCUUCUGAAGUUGACCUCGAAUCAGGUAGGAAUACCCGCUGAACUUAAGCAUAUCAAUAAGCGGAGGA